Molecule: long non-coding RNA, 477 nt
Filed under: Ananas comosus (pineapple)
Lineage: Eukaryota; Viridiplantae; Streptophyta; Magnoliopsida; Poales; Bromeliaceae
Description: long non-coding RNA (ACOM_LNC008741)
Source: RNAcentral
AUUAGAUGUGUGUGUGCGCGCGCGCGUGUGUGUAUAGUCCGGCUACUAUGCUCUUAUGAGUACGAUUGAUUUCGUACUCAUAAGUUAUUUUCGAUGAUAAAGCUUUCGAAUCGACGAUCCAUACCGUUAAACAUUAUCUAGAGUAUUUAAAACUUCUAGAAAUCAAAUUUUAUAAUUUUUUGAUAUUAUUUACCUUACGAUCAAAAGCUCACACAUUAUUUACUUAUCAAACGGGUUGUCUAAAAAUAAACGCCUGAAAAUAAAAAUCUCAUAAAAAAUGAUAAUAAACGACUUGAAUUUAAGAUCAGAGAUAAGUAUUGAUCUUACUCUAAAUAGUGAAAAGAAUUUUCUAUAAAUUUUUUAUCAGAUUUGGAUUGUUUUACAUCGUUAAAUUCACAAACGCAUCACGUCAAUUGUCAAUUUUGAGACCUUUUGAUCACUAGCCAAAUGAUGUCGAAAAAUUAUGAAAUUUAGUUU